UUAGUAGCGGCGAGCGAACAAAAAAUAGCUCAGCACUUAAUCUUACAAUUUUUAUCGAUUGUCAAGAAAUGUAGUGUUUAGAAAAAUUUAUUAACUCAGAUUAAGUAUAUUUUUAAGUUUAUCUUGAACGGGGCCAUAACCCAUAGAAGGUGAAAGGCCGGUAAAAAUAAAUACUUAGUUUUAGUAAAUUUUUCUUAGAGUCGGGUUGCUUGAGAGUGCAAUCCUAAGAUGGUGGUAAACUUCAUCUAAAGCUAAAUAUAACUACGAGAUCGAUAGCGAACAAGUACCGUGAGGGAAAGUUGAAAAGAACUUUGAAGAGAGAGUUCAAUAGUACGUGAAACUGUUUAAGGGUAAACCUGAAAAAUCUAAAUAAAUGAAAGGAAAGAUUCAUUCGUGUUUGAGUUCUAAUGUAUUUAGUGUUUUUGACAAUUUAUAUUUUAAUAUAUUUUGCACGCAUUUAGUACAUAUGUAGAACCAGACGUGUGCAUUUCUUUCUGAGUAAAUUGUUGCGAUUUAUUAAGUAUCAAUUUAAGAUUUUAUUUACAGUUUUAAAAUAAUUUAUUAUUUUAAAUUUUAUAAAAAUUCUAAUUGAUAUACUUGAUAAUAAAAUAAUUAGUAUUAAAUCACGUUUAACGUGUUUGUUUUUUGACAAUUUAGUUUAAUUUUGUUAUAUAUUUGGACUUUGUGCCAAAUUUAACAUUAAACUGAUGUUAGUUGAAAARAAAUCAAACAGAUUUAAUUAUACUAAUCUGCAACAAAAAUGUUUUAGAUAAUUUCAGGACCCGUCUUGAAACACGGACCAAGGAGUCUAGCAUGUGCGCAAGUCAUUAGGAUUUAAUUAAACCUAAAGGCGAAAUUAAUGUGAAAAUUUGUUUUAUACAAAUUGAAGGAAAAUAAAUAAAUAUAUUAAAAUUUAUUUCGUAUUCCUGGAGCACUUGAAUCUUUUUUUAAAGAUUGGGUGCAUCAAUAGCGUACACGCUGGGACCCGAAAGAUGGUGAACUAUGCCUGGUCAGAACGAAGUCAGGGGAAACUCUGAUGGAGGUUCGUAGCGAUUCUGACGUGCAAAUCGAUCGUCAGAACUGGGUAUAGGGGCGAAAGACUAAUCGAACCAUCUAGUAGCUGGUUCCCUCCGAAGUUUCCCUCAGGAUAGCUGGUGCUUAGUUCGGAGUUUCAUCCGGUAAAGCGAAUGAUUAGAGGCAUUGGGGUCGAAACGACCUCAACCUAUUCUCAAACUUUAAAUGGGUGAGAUCUUCGGCUUUCUUAAAUAUUUUUAUGAAGCCGCAAGAUAUUUGAAUCAAAGUGCCAAGUGGGCCAUUUUUGGUAAGCAGAACUGGCGCUGUGGGAUGAACCAAACGUUAAGUUAAAGCGCCAAAAUCAACGCUUAUGGGAUACCAUGAAAGGCGUUGGUAACUUAAGACAGCAGGACGGUGGCCAUGGAAGUCGGAAUCCGCCAAGGAGUGUGUAACAACUCACCUGCCGAAGUUACUAGCCCUGAAAAUGGAUGGCGCUAAAGCGUUGUGCUUAUACUUAACCGUUAGUUGCAUGUGCAGUUAAAAUUUUUAACUAUCAAGCUCUAACGAGUAGGAGGGUUGCGGCAAUGAGCGCAGAAGGGCUAACCGUGAGGUUGUCUGGAGCCGUUGUCGGUACAGAUCUUGGUGGUAGUAGCAAAUACUUCAGUGAGAACCUGGAGGACUGACGUGGAGAAGGGUUUCGUGUGAACAGCAGUUGCACACGAGUCAGUCGAUCCUAAGCUUAAAGCGAAAGCUUUUUUAUAUAAGAUAAUAUUUAUGUAAUAUAAAUUUAAUAUUUAUAAAUUAAAUAUAUAUAAAUCUUAUGAGCGAAAGGGAAUCCGGUUCCUAUUCCGGAACCCGGCAGCGGAACCGUUUUAAAUUCGGACCCUUGCAAAAGAGUUCGUCGGGGUAACCCAAAAAGACCCGGAGACGCCGUCGAAAAAUCCAGGAAGAGUUUUCUUUUCUGUAUAAGCAUUCGAGUUCCAUGAAAUCCUUUAGCAGGGAGAUAUGGUUUGGAAUGCGAAGAACAUCGCAGUUGCGGCGGUGUCUGGAUAUUUUCUUCGGACCUUGAAAAUCCGGGAGAGGGUCACGUGGAGGUGUCGCGCCGGUUCGUACCCAUAUCCGCAGCAGGUCUCCAAGGU
Molecule: ribosomal RNA, 2153 nt
Filed under: Orthoperus sp. CO961
Lineage: Eukaryota; Metazoa; Arthropoda; Insecta; Coleoptera; Corylophidae
Description: eukaryotic LSU rRNA
Rfam family: Eukaryotic large subunit ribosomal RNA
Source: RNAcentral